Vigna unguiculata (cowpea) is the source of this 867-nucleotide long non-coding RNA. The record is from RefSeq and is a predicted model, not a curated record. NCBI's taxonomy places the organism in Eukaryota, Viridiplantae, Streptophyta, Magnoliopsida, Fabales, Fabaceae.
AAUAUAAAAAGGGGAGAACCAAAGGAGAAAGGGGAGAGAGGUUUUUGAAGUUUCGGGGAAGUUCUGGUGGGUCUUCUCGGGAUAAAGAAGCCGAAAGAAGAAAGAAGUGGAGAAGAGAAAGCGGCGAAGGCGUUAAGGUUAAACUGCAAAUGCUUAGUCUUCUUCACGUACUGGAACUGCUAAACCUCCAGCGAUGAUGGUUUUCGUAAGUAGCCAUGGAUGUUUGAAGGACCACGAGUGAGUUCAUGGUUUGAUCGACUAUGAAAAACAAACACAGUUUUGCAAAAUUGAUUCAAGGAACGGGAGUACGCAAUGGUGGCUGGAAUGUGUCAAGGAUAGAUGUGGUUCAAAUGCUGGGGUCGGAACAGUGCUGGUGGACGUUGCUGUCAGAGUGCUUGGAAGGCGUUGCCGGAAAGUUUUGAUCGGACCUUAAUCUGCGAAUAUGCGUUCGUUCACUGGGAAUCGUGGUGUCAUUGCUGUAGAUCCAGAGAGGAUGAUGAAGUCUGGUGUCGGCCGGAGUUUAUGAUGGCAGCAUAGGGCUAGGGUUCGGAAGAGAUGAAGAUGGUGCUGGGCGUGAUAACUUGAAGGAGGGUUCGGGUUUUCUUAGUUGUAGGAUCUGAAUGUCUUAGUCUUAGGCUUCCAAUAUUUUCAGGAUAGAAAAAAAAGAAUAAAAUAAUCAAUAAAGUAAUAAUAAUAUAAAUUGUUAGAAAUUAGAUAGGAGCCUUUUACUUUGCAGUACACCUUGGUCUUUUGUAUUGGGUUGGAUUAAAUGUUUGUUUACUUCGAGCACCCCAUUGUUAUGUGCUGCAACGUUAUUCUUUUGUUGAUUUCACCUCCGCGUUAUUAGUUAGAAGAUUAUGUUGUUUA